AGGUGGGGAGAUCUCUGAGGUGAGGGUACUAAUCAAGUACUAACACGCAGAUGCUCUAGAGUGUGCAAGAGUUCCAGCACUGAAGCGGAGAGAAAUAAUGGCGGCAGUCAGGAUGCAGAGGUGGAGGGCCGGCAGGUGAAGCCCCUCCGUCCAGAAGAGAUAGUUGCAAACAGUCUACAUAAGAAUGCACAACACUGCCAACUUCCUGGUUGGGAAAGGCACUUGGAAAACAUUGUUAUGAAAUAACCAUACGUUUGCUGUUUACCAAGCUACUUGAUCUGCAUUCUAAACAGGUACCUGAGGUUUAC
Hemicordylus capensis (graceful crag lizard) is the source of this 308-nucleotide long non-coding RNA. RefSeq lists it as uncharacterized. The record is from RefSeq and is a predicted model, not a curated record. NCBI's taxonomy places the organism in Eukaryota, Metazoa, Chordata, Lepidosauria, Squamata, Cordylidae. The transcript is spliced from 3 exons.